Molecule: ribosomal RNA, 252 nt
Filed under: uncultured bacterium
Lineage: Bacteria
Description: partial 16S ribosomal RNA
Rfam family: Bacterial small subunit ribosomal RNA
Source: RNAcentral
UACGUAGGGUGCAAGCGUUAUCCGGAAUUAUUGGGCGUAAAGAGCUCGUAGGCGGUUUGUCGCGUCUGCUGUGAAAACUGGAGGCUCAACCUCCAGCCUGCAGUGGGUACGGGCAAACUAGAGUGCGGUAGGGGAGAUUGGAAUUCCUGGUGUAGCGGUGGAAUGCGUAGAGAUCCGGAGGAAGACCGGUGGCGAAGGCGGUCUGCUGGGCAGUUUCUGACACUGAGGCGCGACAGCGUGGGGAGCAACAGG